GGCAUAAACAGUAGCUGGCAAUGGGGGUUGUUUUUCUCCUCAGCCAGGGCAGGAGGCCAAGAUCAGCCUCAAACACUGUCGUCAGAACUGCUCCUACCCAGGCAGCCCUGUUUUCCUCCCUCACACAUUU
RNAcentral lists this small nucleolar RNA (130 nucleotides) under Castor canadensis (American beaver). Lineage: Eukaryota; Metazoa; Chordata; Mammalia; Rodentia; Castoridae. The record is from RNAcentral.